This 391-nucleotide ribosomal RNA is filed under the name uncultured bacterium. Its description in RNAcentral is "bacterial SSU rRNA". It matches the Rfam family "Bacterial small subunit ribosomal RNA", at positions 30 to 418 of the family's 1533-position model. The record is from RNAcentral.
AUUGAACGCUGGCGGAAUGCUUUACACAUGCAAGUCGAACGGCAGCACGGGUGCUUGCACCUGGUGGCGAGUGGCGAACGGGUGAGUAAUGCACCGGAACGUAUCCAAUAAUGGGGGAUAACGCACCGAAAGGUGUGCUAAUACCGCAUACGCCCUGAGGGGGGAAAGCGGGGGAUCGUAAGACCUCGCGUUAAUGGAGCGGCCGAUGCCGGAUUAGCUAGUUGGUGAGGUAAAGGCUCACCAAGGCGACGAUCCGUAGCUGGUCUGAGAGGACGACCAGCCACACUGGAACUGAGACACGGUCCAGACUCCUACGGGAGGCAGCAGUGGGGAAUUUUGGACAAUGGGCGCAAGCCUGAUCCAGCGAUUCCGCGUGAGUGAAGAAGGCCUU